GAAAUAUAAAUAAAAAAGCUUCUAACUUUUUAUUAAAUGAUUAAAAUUCAUUUAUAUUUCU
This 61-nucleotide transfer RNA is filed under the name Neodiprion lecontei (redheaded pine sawfly). RNAcentral describes it as "tRNA-Ser". The record is from RNAcentral. RNAcentral also lists the same sequence under 1 other name. Lineage: Eukaryota; Metazoa; Arthropoda; Insecta; Hymenoptera; Diprionidae.